GAUACAAAGAAGAGGGCAUAUAAAUGCCGUGGCACGAUGCACGGUUCCUUCUUUUCCACUCGUGUUCCUUUAUAGCAUGUCCUCAUCGGGAGGUUGUUUUCUGAUUUCAAACAUUCGACAGUAUGAUACUAGACGUGCACGUGGGUUUGGGUGAAUGGCGCCUAAGCACGUGCUUGAAGAAAUAACGUGAUGAAAGCGGCAUAGGGAUGGUGCUUUCAUUGAUGGGGAGAACAUAGAAGAGUCUGCACUGCAGAAAUGUCGUAUUAAGAGAAUCUCCAGUCUAUGGAUUGAUUGUAUCGAUACAAUCAAAUGUGAUGAAUGUGGCAAAGAGAUGGUGCGUUCACUGAUGGUGAGAACAUGGAAGUUUCUACUGCAAAGAUGCUGAGGUGGCAAGAGAGCUUUCACUGAUGGUGAGAACAUGGAAGUUUCUACAGCAAAGAUGCUGAGGUGGCAAGAGAGUGUUCACUGAUGGUGAGAACAUGGAAGUUUCUACUGCAAAGGUGCUGAGGUGGCAAAAAAGAUGUGAGGUGUGAUUCGUUCAGCCUUGGUUGCCUAAAGUUCAACGAGCCCUCAUCAUCGUCUUUGUGGAUGGAUGUGCUGCUAUAAUAUUUUACAGAUUAAUGCAUCUCUGCAAACAUGAAUGCUGUUAGCACAUUGUGUACACAUGGCUUGUGCUGUUCCAAUAAGAUGUGUAAUUUACUGCUCUGUGGAUUUGUAGUGUUUCAGUUCACCCAUGAUUCUGUAAAGUUUUGUAAGGUAAUGAAUCUAGUAACUGAGUGCUGUGUGUGUGUGUGUGUGUGUUGCUACAUAAGUAAAUGUUAAAUGGUGUGUAAUGAAACCUGCAAAUAUAUCUUUAAACGAUUUUAAACUUA
Long non-coding RNA from Myxocyprinus asiaticus (Chinese sucker), 872 nucleotides. RefSeq lists it as uncharacterized. The record is from RefSeq and is a predicted model, not a curated record. NCBI's taxonomy places the organism in Eukaryota, Metazoa, Chordata, Actinopteri, Cypriniformes, Catostomidae. The transcript has 8 exons.